GCGGCCGCAGGCUACUGUGACACUUCUCUAUUCGGCUUCAAUGGGAUAAUGAAGUGCGAUCGCAGGUACUAACAGCUCCUACUCCACAUCGCAGGCCUGAGGCCAUGUACUCACAGAAGAAAGAAGCUAUCCUGGGUAAACAGAUUUCACUUGGACUGAAAAUUCUCAGUGUUUAUUCACCGAUUUGUUUUGGGAAAGCUGUUGCAUUGGCUUCCCUGCCAUUAUCGAUUCAAAUACGUCUGCUAAUUAUUUGGAACACAGCUAAGAUUUGCCCAGAUGCUGCAGUUAUCUGGGACUCACCUAAGCAGCGUCACCGACUGGCAAAUGAGGUUCUCCCAUCAGAGAACUCGUGGGAUUCUCCCAAAUUCUCGUGGGAUUACUGGUGCAAGGCUGACUGCUAUGCACAGAAAUGAGGACUUUCCUAUCCCCUAAGGAGAGCCCAAAUGCUCCUAGGUCUGCUCAGAGCUCUUCAAAGAAACAGAGAUUGCCUUCAAAUUAACCAUGGCUUAUUAGUUGUUUCUACCUUUUCCUUUUUUUAGUAACAAACCAGUCAUAAUUAUUAAUCAUGAUUGUUUUGAGUGAAUCUAAUUGCAGUGUUCCCUAAAGCAUAGCAACACUCCCUCCACACCCAGCCAACCAAAAUAGAAAAAUCACAUCCCAAAAAUAGCAGCAAGAGACAGUGAACAAAAUCUGGCCUCCAACAAUUUGUGUCAUUAGACCAGACAGAUCUUUGAGACAAAAAUCAGCUGAGACACUAACACUCUAGAAGAUACUGCAGCCUUCCUACAAAAGCCAGCCAGAGUGUUUUGCAGCAGAAAUCCCCUACAUCCCUCUCUAUGCAAAGGGCUGGCUGGUGCUGACCCAGAAUGACUUUGGAGGGCACAUGGCCAGCCCUCCCUAGGUGAAAGGCAAAUUCACAGCAUCCUACAUGUACCUCCUCUACAAAGCACAGCUGCAGAGACAAAGGUGGAGUUUUUAAUUGAUCUCUGCCGACACAAAGACUAGAAGAUAUCCUACAGUUACUGCGUUUGAUGUAGGAAUGCUGGAGUGAAAUGCCUUUAAUUGAGUUACACUGUAUCACUUGAUGGUCUCUUCUAGAGAUAAUAUAUGUUAUUUCUGGUUCCACAAGUGAGUUGGGGAAAAACACAAAACAUAACAAAUCACCCAGAUCAAGUUAAUAGAUCUGUGUAUAAAAGCCAGGAUUAGAUAAGGUUUUCAGGCACUAAGUCUGGCUGGCAAUUACUGUGUCCCUUGUGAAUACUUAGCUCUGGAUUUAGGAAGUUUACAAACCUAGACAGAUACAAACAUAUUAUCACAGUAUUUUAAGGUCUUCCUACAUCAGAGAUGUUUUUGCCUGGCCCCAGAACCCCAUUCAUGCAAGGAUGAAAAGCUCUCAAAGGACUUACCUGUGGUUAUUUUCCAAAAAUGCUGGGGUUAUAUAUCCUCAAAGCAGUCUUUAAAAAGUAAAGACUCUGCUGUAGCAGAUAAAUGUUUUUAGUGGCUUUCAACAGAAAGGAAUCAAGCUACACUACAGUUUCUCCCAUUCCAGAGCACCAAGACCCACCUGCCUUUUGAAACAGAAGUAAUUCAGGGCAAUGCAUUUCAGCUGUACUUGCAAGGCACGUUAAACGAAACCUGACUUCUAAAAGCUGCCAGGUCUCUUAAAGAGCAGGAAUGAUAACAGUUACAGAUGGGUAAAAGUUAGGAGGUCACUGAGCCCAGCCUGCUGCCAGGCCAGGCAGAGCCCCCAGAGGCAGCCCAAGCCAAGACUUCAACUGAUAUGACAAUUGAUCUUAGCCAAAAGGUCAAGAAGUGAUGAUGGGGAGGGGGCUGAGGACAAAAGUGACUUAGAGCUGUCUCUAUGUCCUCUGCAGAGGAGAUGCAGGCAAACCUCUCUGGAAUAAUACUUAGAAUUUAUCAUGUUAAGCAGAUGGUGUUUGACUUGCUGCUCUUAAUACAUAAUCCUGAAAGGUCUGUUGCAGUUAUCUACUGUAAUAAUAAUGCUGUUUUGCAUGUUGCAAGACACCUGAAGCAGCAUCAAUAAAGUAGUCUCACAGGGCCAGUUUGCUGACACUCUGUUUGUGCCCUUGCUGUACACAAGGUUAUCUUUAAUGGCAGAAAGUAUUUUUUUAUUGCUCUCUGGUGACCUAGAGGAGGCUGUGGAUCCUCUGACCUUACUGCCCAUACAACAUGAGCUUUGGCUGAAGGAUGGUCUAAGCAAAACUUUGCUUUUGUAGUAGGAAAGAUGUAUUUCCUUAUUUCAUCCAGCAGACAGGACUGCAUUCAGUCCUGUCUAUAAUAUGACUUUACCUUUGUCCAUGCCUUGAUUUUCCAAAUUUUGUCAGAAAGGUAGCUUACAUACAUUGCCUCUAUACUAGGCAAUGCUGGGAUUGCAAUUUCUAUCUAAACACCAGUGUGACACACUAAGAUAUUUAUUGAUCAUUGUAAUAAGAAUUUACUGAGAGAAUCUUUUCCUGAGCUGUCAAGAACCACAUCAAAUUUUCAAGAGAAAGAAGAAAUAAUAAAUUUUUAAAAAAUGGCAAUAUUAGAGCUGGCCAAAUUUUCAAACUCAUUCAGAGCUAGUAAUCCUGUUACCAGAGAGUUAAGGGAGACAGGCCAAAACCACCUGCAGAGGUACACAGGCCUUUGCUGGUUUUGCAAGCACUCAUCCCAAACUUUGGCCUUAACAUCCAUGAAAGCCAAACGAGGAGACUUCUUGGGAUCCAGCUCACCCAAAACAAGACUUACAAAGGCAAAGUGAUCAAAACUCAUCACUCAAGUGCUUUCCAAGAUCAGUGGAAGGGGGAAGCAGCAGAGCACAGUUCAACACCCACCUUGGCAGACUCUACCCCGAAUGAUAGGAUCACUGCACGUGACAAUGUAAAUGUCUGCACAGACACUUGACUUCUAUGAAGCUACUACACAUCAGUGGGAAAAUGAAGUCUCUUCUGUGCAACUUGGGCAGCCAAUCCCUGCACAGAGCCAGCUCCUGCUAAGGCAACCAUCCUCAUCUCUUAGAGGUGAUCCCUGCAAGUCCCCACCUUGGCAGGGCAUUGAUGGUGAAGAGACACUAUUCUCCAGAUCUCCACUAUCUUCUGUUACACCCCUAAUGCAAAGAAAGCAGAGUUGUGAAUCCUCCAAGGGCAAAAGAACAAGGCACAGAGGCACCUUCAUCGACUUCUGCAGCAGUUCCUAGAUUACAGCAUCUCCAAGCAGAGUGCAGAACUAACACCUGUUCUCCCCCUCGUGUCUUGGCACUACCUGAACACACAGAAAGGGAAAUACACAAAGACUGCAUGGAGUAGAUUUCAUCCACCACUUUCUGAUGGUUUUCACAACUCUAUCAGAAGAAAACAUGCACAAAACAGGACUAAGCUAUUUCAUGUAAUGCUUUAUGAAUUCCUUUAUAACUCCCUAAAAAUCAGUGUUAAUUCUUCCUCCUGAGUGAAAGACUGGGCCUCACCACUAAAGUCAGUCUAAAGAAAUGAAGUGCUGAGAGAAGAUCUACAUGAGGAGGCUACCCUAAAAAAGUGUCCAAAAGAAUAUUCAGGUUGCAAUUGACACAUCCUGUGGAGGGGAGUAAGGCAACACUUUUUGCAAAGACAGUUCCAAAAGGAUUUACAAAGAGGUGUCACUGAGAGUUUUGAAAUGAGACUCUGCUGUCAAUAUGUGCUCUACUGCUCCUUUCCUCCUAUGAGGAGUUUCACCAGCCUGUUACAUACCUUAUCAAAACCUUAAUUUCAUUUGAAAAAUUGAGUAGGUGCUUCUUCAUUGAACUCUCUCUGCAGAAGGGUCCUGAAUGUUAGCACAAUGCCCUCUAACAGCUAAGAUUUAGCACACAAAGACAAAUAUAAAAAGAAAAGCAUUUCACAAGAAUUUACUGGAACAUAAAAAAUUUCUAUGCAGAUGCACAAACAUACCUGUAAGAUGAGCUUUGCCACUGUGUAGUGGUUCAAGAAGAUUCUGCUACAGUAUUUACUCACAGAGAAGCAGCACAGCUCUUUGUGAGGAAGAGUUCUUCCAAUUCAAACUGAGACGUUCCAGAGCAGAGGUCCAGCCUGCAUGAAGGUAUUGAUAAACUAAUCACAGAAAUUUAAUCACCUCUAAACAAAAGUUAUUUGACCAAUUAUCAGCUGACACUCAGUACACGCCUUUUUGCAGUCCCUGCAAAUGAAACACAAGAGUAUUAUUUAGCCAAAAUGGGACUCAUUGUUCUGAACAGCUCAUAUGCCUGUAGAGUCCCUUCCAAGCUAAAGAGCCUGAAGUCAUGCAGGGGCUCCCUGAAGCAGCACUUAUCUGGUCACACACAUCUAGAUGACAGCACUGUUGUUCUCAUUAGGAUGACAACUUCUGGUACUGACAAGUGACUCUUGAAAUGUUAUUCCUUGCUGAAGCAGUUUUGAAUGUAAGAGACUGAAAAACAAGGGGAUAUUCUCGGUAGAAUAAUCAGCUUUUUUUAAUUGAAAAUUCACAUAUACAGCCUGGAUGCAAUUGGAUGCAAACAAAGAGCUUCAUAUAAUACAGUGCCUUUUGGUCUGAUCUCACAGUCACUUAUAUAUACACCAGCUGAAUUGUACAGUGCAAAUGCUCCCAUGUCUCUUCCUGACACUGGAUUAAAAAUUAAGACAGUCCAGCCUGAGACUUUUUUUGACUUUUUUUUUUUUUUCCAGAGGCACCAAAGGCGGCUUUCUUAGUCACUCAGUCUUGAGA
This is a long non-coding RNA of Passer domesticus (house sparrow), 4710 nucleotides long. RefSeq lists it as uncharacterized. The record is from RefSeq and is a predicted model, not a curated record. Lineage: Eukaryota; Metazoa; Chordata; Aves; Passeriformes; Passeridae. The transcript is spliced from 3 exons.